This 457-nucleotide ribosomal RNA is filed under the name uncultured bacterium. RNAcentral's name for it is "partial 16S ribosomal RNA". It matches the Rfam family "Bacterial small subunit ribosomal RNA", at positions 338 to 795 of the family's 1533-position model. The record is from RNAcentral.
CCUACGGGAGGCAGCAGUGGGGAAUAUUGCACAAUGGGGGAAACCCUGAUGCAGCGACGCCGCGUGAGUGAAGAAGUAUUUCGGUAUGUAAAGCUCUAUCAGCAGGGAAGAAACCCACCCUCCGGGGUGGCUGACGGUACCUGACUAAGAAGCCCCGGCUAACUACGUGCCAGCAGCCGCGGUAAUACGUAGGGGGCAAGCGUUAUCCGGAUUUACUGGGUGUAAAGGGAGCGUAGGUGGCAAGGCAAGUCAGAUGUGAAAACCCGGGGCCCAACCCCGGGAGUGCAUUUGAAACUGUCUGGCUAGAGUGCAGGAGAGGUAAGUGGAAUUCCUAGUGUAGCGGUGAAAUGCAUAGAUAUUAGGAGGAACACCAGUGGCGAAGGCGACCUGCUAGAACAUAACUGACGCUGAUGCGCGAAAGCGUGGGGAGCAAACAGGAUUAGAUACCCUUGUAGUC